RNAcentral lists this ribosomal RNA (478 nucleotides) under uncultured bacterium. Its description in RNAcentral is "partial 16S ribosomal RNA". It matches the Rfam family "Bacterial small subunit ribosomal RNA", at positions 28 to 523 of the family's 1533-position model. The record is from RNAcentral.
AUUGAACGCUGGCGGCAUGCCUUACACAUGCAAGUCGAACGGUAAGGCCCUUCGGGGUACACGAGUGGCGAACGGGUGAGUAACACGUGGGUGAUCUGCCCUGCACUUCGGGAUAAGCCUGGGAAACUGGGUCUAAUACCGGAUAGGACUCCGGACUGCAUGGUCUGGGGUGGAAAGCCUUUGCGGUGUGGGAUGGGCCCGCGGCCUAUCAGCUUGUUGGUGGGGUGAUGGCCUACCAAGGCGACGACGGGUAGCCGGCCUGAGAGGGUGACCGGCCACACUGGGACUGAGAUACGGCCCAGACUCCUACGGGAGGCAGCAGUGGGGAAUAUUGCACAAUGGGCGCAAGCCUGAUGCAGCGACGCCGCGUGAGGGAUGACGGCCUUCGGGUUGUAAACCUCUUUCAGCAUCGACGAAGCGAAAGUGACGGUAGGUGCAGAAGAAGGACCGGCCAACUACGUGCCAGCCGCCGCAGUAA